Molecule: ribosomal RNA, 348 nt
Filed under: Triticum aestivum (bread wheat)
Lineage: Eukaryota; Viridiplantae; Streptophyta; Magnoliopsida; Poales; Poaceae
Description: partial small subunit ribosomal RNA
Source: RNAcentral
AUGGAUAACUUAUUUGUUUUGUUGUAUAUACUUUGUAGUUUCAAUGAUGAGACAUAUAUGUCAACUAUGGGUGUCGGCUCCAACAAUUCUCAUUGGUCUCAAAGCAAUUAUGUGCAUUUCGAUGGUCAUGAGUUUGAGGUGGACGAGGAUGGUGAGGGUAUCGUCGAUGCACCGAAAGAAAGAGCGGGCAACUACACCAUCGACGAAGACAUCUUGAUAUGCAAUCCAUGGUUGCAAGUGUCUGGGGAUGCCACCGUUGGAGGGGACCAAAGUAGAUAUGCAUAUUGGAUCCGUAUGAAGGAGCACUUUGAUUUACACAACAGAAGUGGAAUUGACCGCACAGAAUGA